GAAGGACGUGAUAAGCUGCGAAAAGCUCCGUUUAGGUGCAAAUAACCUUUGAUGCGGAGAUCUCCGAAUGGGAUAACCCAAUAUGUUGAAGACAUAUUAUACCGUAAGGUAGGCAAACGCAGGGAACUGAAACAUCUAAGUACCUGCAGGAGAAGAAAACAAACGUGAUUCCCCCAGUAGCGGCGAGCGACCGGGGAUAAGCCCAAACCGUUAUUGUUUCGGCAGUAGCGGGGUAGUAGGACUGCGACAUUGAUGAAAUAAAUGAAAUGGAACACUUUGGAAAAUGUGAUCACAGAGGGUGAUAAUCCCGUACAUGCAAGUUUAUGAAUCAUAGCAGUAUCCUGAGUAAGUCGGGACACGUGUAAUCCUGACCGAAUCCGCCGGGACCAUCCGGCAAGGCUAAAUACUCCUGAGAGACCGAUAGUGAACCAGUACCGUGAGGGAAAGGUGAAAAGCACUUCGAACAGAAGAGUGAAAUAGUCCCUGAACCCAUACGCCUACAAGCAGUCGGAGCCGCUUCGUGCGGUGACGGCGUGCCUUUUGCAUAAUGAGCCUACGAGUUACUCAUCACCAGCGAGGUUAAGUACUUCAGGUACGUAAGCCGAAGCGAAAGCGAGUCUGAAUAGGGCGUCAAGUUGGUGGUGGUAGACGCGAAACCUUAGUGAUCUACCCAUGGGCAGGGUGAAGGUUUGGUAACACAAACUGGAGGCCCGAACCGGUAAACGUUGAAAAGUUUUCGGAUGACCUGUGGGUAGGGGUGAAAGGCCAAUCAAACUGGGAAAUAGCUCGUACUCUCCGAAAUGCAUUUAGGUGCAGCCUCUGUUGUUUUGUUCUAGAGGUAGAGCUACUGAUUGGAUGCGAGGGCUUCACCGCCUAUCAAAUCCGGCCAAACUCCGAAUGCUAGAACAUGAAGACAGGGAGUGAGCCAGCGGGUGCUAAGGUCCGUUGACGAAAGAGGGAGAACUCAGACCAUCAGCUAAGGUCCCCAAUUAUAUGCUAAGUUGGAAUUAAAACGGGGUGGGACUGCUUAGACAGCUAGGAUGUUGGCUUGGAAGCAGCCAUUCAUUUAAAGAGUGCGUAACAGCUCACUAGUCGAGCGGUCCUGCAUGGAUAAUACGCGGGCAUAAGCAUAUAACCGAAGCUAUGGGAUUGUAGAUGAUACAAUCGGUAGGAGAGCAUUCCAUUCAGCAUAGAAGCAGUACCGUGAGGUAUUGUGGAGCGGAUGGAAAAGCAAAUGUAGGCAUAAGUAACGAUAAUGCGGGUGAGAACCCCGCACGCCGAAAGAUCAAGGAUUCCCCGGCAAUGUCAAUCAUCCGGGGGUAAGUCGGAUCCUAAGGGUAAGCCGAGUGGCGAUCCCGAUGGUAAACAGGUUAAUAUUCCUGUACUGAUCAUAACUGCGAUGCAGCGACGCAGAGGUGACACUGCUGCGUACUGACGGAAUAGUACGUUGAAACCCGUAUUCUUUGAUACCGGUAGUGAAGCACGCCGGUAGAGAUGAAAGGUGAUAGUACCGCAAUGCUUCGGUUGCGCGGAUAAUGCAGGUAAGCUGACUGCCAAGAAAACCUGCUAAGCUUCAGGUAAUGAUCAUCCGUACUGUAAACGGACACACGUGAUCAGGUAGAAAAUACUAAGGCGCUCGAGAGAUUCAUGGUUAAGGAACUAGGCAAAAUGGUCCUGUAACUUCGGGAUAAAGGACGCUCUUGUGAAAGAGCCGCAGAUAAUAGGCCCAGGCGACUGUUUACCAAAAACACAUGGCUAUGCUAAUUCGCAAGAAGAUGUAUAUGGCCUGACACCUGCCCGGUGCCGGAAGGUUAAGAGGAGAGCUCAGAUGUAAGUCGAAGGUUUGAAUUGAAGCCCCGGUAAACGGCGGCCGUAACUAUAACGGUCCUAAGGUAGCGAAAUUCCUUGUCGGGUAAGUUCCGACCUGCACGAAUGGGCUGCGUCGUCAGGCGUAGAGUAGCCGUCGUUGAAAUACGACCCUUUUGUUAUCUGAGGUCUAAUCCCGUUAGGGAGACAUUGCAUGGUGGGUAGUUUGACUGGGGUGGUCGCCUCCAAAAGUGUAACGGAGGCUUCUCAAGGUACCCUCAAGGCGUUUGGUAAUCGUCUGCAGAGUGCAAUGGCAUAAGGGUGCUUGACUGUGAGACCGACACGUCGAUCAGGUUGGAAACAAGAGCAUAGUGAUCCGGUGGUUCCGCAUGGAAGGGCCAUCGCUCAAAGGAUAAAAGGUACUCCGGGGAUAACAGGCUGAUCGCUCCCAAGAGCUCAUAU
Molecule: ribosomal RNA, 2268 nt
Filed under: human gut metagenome
Description: bacterial LSU rRNA
Rfam family: Bacterial large subunit ribosomal RNA
Source: RNAcentral